RNAcentral lists this ribosomal RNA (612 nucleotides) under Triticum aestivum (bread wheat). Its description in RNAcentral is "partial small subunit ribosomal RNA". The record is from RNAcentral. Lineage: Eukaryota; Viridiplantae; Streptophyta; Magnoliopsida; Poales; Poaceae.
AUGAAGAAGAUCAAGAGUGGAAAAGAGCUAGUGGAAGAAGUAAGGAAGAUUGAGAAGAACAUCAACGCUGGCAGCACUAUUUCUUCACAACUUGAGUUGAGUGUGGCUGAGAUAUCCAUGGUUACAUGUGAGGUUCCAGCACCUUCACAUUUCGUUGAGCAAGAUAGCAAGUGCCUUGAGCAAGAGAUACCUCAGAUUGAAGAAGAUGAACUAGAAGACAAGGAACAAGAUGGUCAAGAGCUGCAAUUCCCAAGUGAUCAAGUUGAAGACUCAUCAUCUAUUACUCCUGAAGAAGUACAAGAAGCUGCUGUAGAUGAAGAUGAAGAACAUGAGAUUCAUUUGCCUAUUGUCAUACCAGAGCGUGAUGUGUCAGGUUUACUCAAUCCUCUUGAUGACAUGAUGCCUUGUGAUUUCUUUGCUACCACCUUGCAUUACAUGAUACCAUCACUUAAGAUUGAUUUGAAAACUCAUUUGCUUGGAUAUGAUGAUAUAUACCCUGUUAGUGGCAUUACUCUCAUUUGCGAUGAUCAUAGUUACUUUCCUCGUGCUAGCAGAAAAGUGCGACAAGGCACUAAUGUAAACAGCUGUUUGCUCUGUUUAGUACUUGUAUAA